This is a non-coding RNA of Schistosoma mansoni, 47 nucleotides long. The record is from Rfam. Lineage: Eukaryota; Metazoa; Platyhelminthes; Trematoda; Strigeidida; Schistosomatidae.
CAUAAGGAUUUUCUGGAAUCCACUUGAAAGAUUCAAUUAAACUAUGU